Long non-coding RNA from Poecilia reticulata (guppy), 536 nucleotides. RefSeq lists it as uncharacterized. NCBI's taxonomy places the organism in Eukaryota, Metazoa, Chordata, Actinopteri, Cyprinodontiformes, Poeciliidae. The record is from RefSeq and is a predicted model, not a curated record.
GGGGGCAGUAGCGGUGAAGCGGAACCUUUAUAUAGGGGUCGUUGCUUCCGGGUUGGUUUUGUGACGAACUUCCUGUUUGCCUCAGACACCAUGUCAGACACAAUCUGGAUGCUAAUGGCAGCGCUUCCGUCGACUUUGCUGAAUCCUGUUUUACUGUUCUUCAGAUUGUGUACAUCACUGAAGUAGCAGUCCUGACACUUGGGACCUGUAACAUGAAGGAACAGCGAGAAGUGGGCAAGCAGGGUUUCCCCCAGAAUAGCCUGGUGGUCGGAGCACCGAGGCGGUCCACCGUCGGUUCACCUCGGUUGACUAGUGGAUGAAUAUUACUUCUGACUGAGAAGAUGCAGUGAUUUCUUUGGCAGCUCCCUCCACGCCUAUUGGUUACUGAAAGAUUUCAAAUGUUGUUCCCUUCCAAAGUGUCACUUGAUUUCCUAGAUCUGAAGGAAAAUCUACUUUAUUGAUAAGCUCUCAACAAUAGAAACAAUAUUAUUUCAUUGUAUUUUUUAAAUAUCUAUGAAAUAAAAAUCUAUUACUUA